Molecule: long non-coding RNA, 847 nt
Organism: Dromaius novaehollandiae (emu)
Lineage: Eukaryota; Metazoa; Chordata; Aves; Casuariiformes; Dromaiidae
Exons: 2
Source: RefSeq, a predicted model, not a curated record
CGCUGUCGAUGGAUGCCACAGAAAGCCUGUCAAUGCCCUUUCCAGUAUCAACGAGAGAGUGACUGAAGAGGAAUGGCUGCAGUCACUGACUUCCUUCCAGGAGCUCAUUCCCUUCCCAGAGUUAAGGACAUGGCUUAACUCUUCAAAAGUCCUUGCCUCUACAACCAGGGAAAUGAAGACUAAUCUGGGGAUUCAAGCAGGGAUUUUCAGUUUAGACUGAGCUGAAGAUCAUUAUCAGAUAGAAACAUCCUUUCUCUAUGAGUUCUUGUCAAGGCCAUGAUGUCGCCUGCAGUGACUACGGCGUUAUUGCAAACUUCAGUGGAACGUGAAAUGUGUGGUCUUAAGGGUGUAUGCUUAUGAACACAGCCAUGGCUGUUCUGAGCAUAUGCUGUAUCAUCCAAAGGACAUCGGUGACAGAAAUCUCCCAGGUGAUAAUUAUAUAAAGGACCCUCUGCUCUGAGAGGAAGUUCCAUCACUGAAACUAAAGAAUAUAAAAUGCUGUUAAUGAUGCUUUGUGCUGACAUCGCACCUUUGUUCUAAAGACACCAGGCAUUUUACCAAUGCCUGUGAGCUUCUCCGAGCAUCUUUUCCAUGGAAAGUUUCGUAGACAAGAGCCCAGCAGGGACAGAGAUUUAGCAAGAUUCCUCUAGCUAUCAGAUUGUCCAGUUGGUUUUACAUCAUCUUCCUCCUGCAAAAUGGGCAGGCUCUUUUAUUAAUGGAGCAUUUGAGAUUCUGCCUCUGAUACUGGCUUUCUGAAAUUAUGCUUGUCAGGUUCCUAACAACAGUCAUGUUUUCUACUCCUAAAGAUAAAACAAUAUUUCCCAAUAAAAGUAUAUACUGAAAAAAG